UUCCGCCAGUAUGAUUACACUUUCCUGCGAAUUUGAAUAAUUUCUUGAAUCAGCGUGCAAAACUAAACGUUUUAAAAACAAUGAAAGUGCAAGAACUACCGGAAAAUGGUUGCGCGAAUGUCGAACAAGAGAUGGCCGGUGCCCAGGACACCAUUUACCUGUGCAACUUCCGGGUGUCCGUCGAUGGCGAAUGGUUGUGCCUGAAGGAAUUGCAAGACAUUGAAUUUAAUAUGCAGGAUUCCAUUAAUAGUAAAAUUAUGUCGCCACCCACACCAGAACCUAUGUCCCUCUUUGGCCGUGAUCCAGUAGUAAUUGAACGAAGUAACCUUGUAAACAUUAGCAAACUAGUUGUUAAAGAACUAAUCGAGCAAUCCUUAAAAUAUGGCCGAAUGCUUGACUCAGACCACAUGCCCCUUCAACACUUUUUUAUUGUCUUGGAACAUGUCUUGCGGCAUGGAUUAAAACCUAAAAAGGGGCUACUUGGACCGAAAAAAGAACUAUGGGACAUCUUGCAGCAGGUUGAAAAAUACGCACCGGAAGCUCAAGAUAUUACAUCUAGUGUUAAGAAUCUCCCUACAGUUCGAACUCAUAUGGGCCGAGCACGUGCAUGGCUCCGAAUAGCUCUUAUGCAAAAGAAACUUGCUGACUACCUAAAAGUUCUCAUCGAUCACAAAGACGAAGCUUUAGUAGAAUAUUUUGAGCCAGACGCUUUAAUGUUAAGCGACGAAGCUAUCGUCAUCAUAGGGUUGUUGGUUGGCUUAAAUGUCAUUGAUUGUAAUCUGUGUGUUAAAGAAGAAGACUUGGAUUGUCCUCAAGGCGUGAUAGAUUUCUCUCUUUAUCUCCGUUCUCCAAACCAUAUUUCAGCCGAAUCCAAUAACGAUGAACAAGGUGAUAAUAUGGUAACCGUUUUGGACCAGAAAAAUUACAUUGAGGAACUAAACAGGCAUUUAAAUGCAACAGUGGCAAACUUACAGACUAAAGUGGAAAGCCUGACCACCACCAAUGCUCUCAUGAAAGAAGAUUUGGCUAUUGCCAAAAAUAAUCUUAUGGCCCUCUAUGAGGAAAAUCGUCAGCUAAGGGCUGAGUGCGGUAAAGAUCCCGGAGGUUAUGUUAUGAGCCUAAGUGGGGUUAAUAUUAUAACAACUAAUGAUAGAGAAGGGAGAGUUCCCACUGGAGAACUUGAAGAACUGAAGCAAAGACUGGAGGAAGAACGUAGAUUAAGGCAGGAAGCUGAUCAUGAAUUGGAGCUACAAAUUUGUCUAAAAGCAGAGAUGGAAGUUGCCAUGAAACUACUGGAGAAAGAUAUUCACGAGAAGCAGGACACAAUUAUUUCUCUUAGGAGGCAAUUGGACGAUAUAAAACUGAUUAAUUUGGAAAUGUAUAAAAAGCUUCAGGAAUGUGAAAUGGAGUUGACCCAAAAAGGCGAAAUGGUCAGUCGUCUACAAGCCAAGGCCGGCCAAAUCGGCAAGAUCCUUAAUAAUCUCGAAAAAUAUAAUCAUUUGCUAAAAGACGAGAAGAAAUCGGGCGACAAACGUACCGAGAAACGACAAUGCACUAAAAACGAUAUUAGAGAACACGCCCUCAAAAAGCUGAAUAUUAAUUUGAGCAAGGACAUUACUAAUAAAGAUCUGAAGGGUGGCGGUGGGUCGUCUAAAGAAGAAAUAUCUCCUAAGCCGGAUUCGAGUAAGGAAGUUGAAAAAUCUACGGAAGAAACGGGUAGACUCUCCUCGGACUCUACGGAUUCCUUUGUUAAGUUGGAUUUAGAGUCCGAAGAGAAAAAUGAAGCUUAGGAGGUGUUCAUUCUCGAGGCGUUCGGCGUGCUUGUUUUGUCGUUGGGAACCUUGUUAGUAUUUUUGCUGUUUGUUCAUCUUCUGUGUUGCCUCGAAGCACAAUUCAAAUAUCUUUAAUGAUUUUUUUUAAAUUUUUAUAGGAAAUAUUUUUCAUUCAAUAGCGAAAUUGAUACAAGGGAUGUGAUAAACAGUGGUGGCUCCUCCGUUAGGUCAUUGGCAAUCAAUGUCUAUCUUCGAAAAAUGUAUUUUUGUUUAACUGUAUUUGAAGAUUAUUUCAAAUGGCUAAAAAAUAUGAAAAAUUAUAUAUUUUUUUAAUUAUUGCCAUUAAUAAUUAAAAUUAAUAAUGGUAAACAUAUGAAUAAAAUAUUUAAAAUGAUUUAAAAAAUAUUAAAGUUUCUGGAAUAAAAGUACUGCAAAUGACUGAAAGAUAUGAAUUACCUCCGAAAGUCUGAAAAAUAUAAAAGAUAUUUCAAAUACACAGAAGACGAAAAUCAAUGCCUGUAAUAAAAUUAAGAAAAUACAUCAAAAGAUCUGAAAGAUAUAAACUUAUUCCAAAGAGCUGCAUUAAAAUAGAGUACUUGAACGUCUUUAAAAGAAAGUAUUCUGAGAAAAAAUUAGACAUCUGGAGCCUGGAAAACAUAAACAAUUAUUUGCAAUAUGUGUAAUAAAAAUGAAAAGUAUUUUAAAGAUGUAAUAACGUCUGGAACGUAUAGAAAACGACUUUAAUUGUCUGAAAGCUAUAAAAAAUGUCUGCAUUAAAAAUGUUUGAAUGAUUGAAAAACUAAAUAUUUUGUAAUAAAUGUAAAAAAAAAACAUUGAAUUUGAAAAUGUAAUAUAGUUGGACAUCUGGAAUCACUUUUAAACCUCAAUCAGCUCAUGUUAAGGAAGUUCUUAUCAUUAAUUAAUCAACUAAUACUUUUAAAAAACUUCUAAACACUCGUUGCAUAUAAUACUAAACUGAUAUUGAUGACUUCUUUAUCCUGCCUAUUGAUCGAACCACGAGCCGCCACUGGUAAUAAUUAAAAGAAAAAUUAAGUUUCGCUUAUUUUAGGAUUGUGAGGCGUCUUUAAAACAUAAAACGGAGUUAGUAAACAAGCUAGAGGCUAAGGCACAAAAUUUGACCGAUACAAUUCAGUCUCUCGAAACUAAGUUAAAACAUUGCGAAGAAACCCGUAUGUCAAUGGAACGAGUAAAGCGCGA
RNAcentral lists this unclassified non-coding RNA (2990 nucleotides) under Anthonomus grandis grandis. RNAcentral's name for it is "rUN and FYVE domain-containing protein 2". The record is from RNAcentral. Lineage: Eukaryota; Metazoa; Arthropoda; Insecta; Coleoptera; Curculionidae.